Long non-coding RNA from Gadus morhua (Atlantic cod), 1642 nucleotides. RefSeq lists it as uncharacterized. Lineage: Eukaryota; Metazoa; Chordata; Actinopteri; Gadiformes; Gadidae. The record is from RefSeq and is a predicted model, not a curated record. The transcript has 4 exons.
AGAGCCCCUCCCCCAUUCAGCAGCAGCCCAAGUCUUAGCUCUACCGGUCAGGUGAGAAAUCAUAAACGCUACUUUGGACCGGUCUGUGGGAAACGCACAAGGAUUAAAUUCAAAAUGAAUAGAACAGUCAAUAAAAAAUAUCCUGCUUUGCUCCGGCUCUCCGGCGUAUCGCGCUGGGGGAGCCAACUUACUGCCCGCUCCGAUAAGCGGCAUGGGGAAAGUUGGAGUUACUUCCGGGAUCGGAAGCGGGGCCGGAGCGGUCUGGCGAGUGAGCUGGCCAAUAGGGGAUUAUCACGCUUCCGGUGGCGGAUUUGUCUUCGUUGUGCAUGAACACUUCCGGCGCACUUCAACAAUGGCUGAAAUAAAGGCUAGAUGUCACUGCUCUGUUCCACUUUGUACAUCUAACAAACAUCACCAACCCUACUUAAGUUUUCAUGGAUUCCCGACUGAAUUGAGUCUAAGGAAGAAGUGGAUUCAAGCGGUUCGCCGGGAUGAAGGGCCAAACUUUAAAAUAAAACAAGUUAGCACGUUUGUUUGUAGCCGGCACUUUAGUGAAUCAGACUACAAACGCUACAGCUAGCAACCAACCGGGGUCACACCAAGCGACUGAAAAUCGGGUCUGUACCCUCCCGUUUCCAGUGGAACAACUGGGGACUGCCAAGAAGGGGGUCUGUUUAUAAAAGAGCAUCAACUCGCUUAGGCCAUGACGUUCACCCAGCCCUUCCUCUGGAGCAACCGCUGCCCUGUGAAUAAGAGCCGAUGGAGGAGAUCGCAGCUUCGGUGGUGAUUACGGAACAUGAUUUCGGUUCUGCUCCUAAACCAGGUGCAAUGGAUGCUGCUGCUGUACACAAACAGCAAUUGGAAGAAACAGUCAAGGAGCUGAUGAGAGCUGUCACAGCUGAAAGUGGUUCAAGUGCCUUUUCACAGAUUUUGUGUCUCAGACAAGGACAUCCUUUUUUACACCAGAUUCACGUCAAGAGAUGUUUUGUGACUUCUGGGAGGUUAUUCAACCAUCUGCCUCCAUGUUGGUUUAUUGGUCGAAAGCUCAGAAAAAGAAACAAACAUUUGAACCCAUUUCUCCCAGUCCAACGUGUAUGCAACUGGUUGAGUUUUUUCUCUUCUGCUGCCGGGUUGCUGCAGGACUGCAAGAGAAGGUGCUGGCUGACAUGUUUCAGUGCUGUGACUUUUGUGUCAAGUCUCUUCACCGGCUCGCUCCAUCUCCGACCCAGAGCUGACUGAACGAAGUGGACUGCUGGAUUUACUGCAGCCAGGAGAUGGCUGCAUGGCAGACAAGGGUUUCACCAUCGAGCAGCCACUAGCUGAUCGUGGGGCAACGCUGAUUAUACCACACUUCAAGAUGACAGUUCACCGAAGAGGAUGCUCUGAAAACACAAGCAAUCGCCCGACUUCGAAUCCUCGUAGGAAGAGCAAUAGGCAGAGUCAAGGAAUACCGCAUUUGGGAACUGUCCUUUCACCUUGUCUGCGACAGUCAACCAGCUGUGGACCGUCUGCUGUGUGAUGACCAACUUCCAGGGACCACUUGAUUUAAAAGGCUACAUCCCUGUUGAAUAGUGUUUCUACUCAAACAUGUACCUAUAAAGAUUAAAUGUAAUACAUAAAAAUUAAAACGAGAGACACUGAA